RNAcentral lists this microRNA (21 nucleotides) under Brassica rapa (field mustard). Its description in RNAcentral is "bra-miR164e-3p". Its record names the gene bra-miR164e-3p. Lineage: Eukaryota; Viridiplantae; Streptophyta; Magnoliopsida; Brassicales; Brassicaceae. The record is from miRBase by way of RNAcentral.
CACGUGCUCCCCUCCUCCAAC